Molecule: transfer RNA, 74 nt
Filed under: Telonemida sp.
Lineage: Eukaryota; Telonemia; Telonemida
Description: tRNA-Asn
Rfam family: tRNA
About the family: Transfer RNA (tRNA) molecules are approximately 80 nucleotides in length. Their secondary structure includes four short double-helical elements and three loops (D, anti-codon, and T loops).
Source: RNAcentral
UCUCUAGUAGCUCAAUUGGUUAGAGCGUGUGGCUGUUAACCACAAGGUUGUUGGUUCAAGUCCGACCUAGGGAG